UAUUGGUCAAUGGACGCAAGUCUGAACCAGCCAUGCCGCGUGCAGGAUGAAGCAUCUAUGGUGUGUAAACUGCUUUUGUACGGGAAGAAACCCUCCUACGUGUAGGAGCUUGACGGUACCGUAAGAAUAAGGAUCGGCUAACUCCGUGCCAGCAGCCGCGGUAAUACGGAGGAUCCAAGCGUUAUCCGGAAUCAUUGGGUUUAAAGGGUCCGUAGGCGGCCUUAUAAGUCAGCGGUGAAAGUUUUUGGCUUAACCAAAAAAUUGCCGUUGAUACUGUGAGGCUUGAAUAUUUGUGAAGUAACUAGAAUAUGUAGUGUAGCGGUGAAAUGCUUAGAUAUUACAUGGAAUACCAAUUGCGAAGGCAGGUUACUAACAAAUUAUUGACGCUGAUGGACGAAAGCGUGGGUAGC
RNAcentral lists this ribosomal RNA (410 nucleotides) under uncultured bacterium. Its description in RNAcentral is "bacterial SSU rRNA". It matches the Rfam family "Bacterial small subunit ribosomal RNA", at positions 362 to 769 of the family's 1533-position model. The record is from RNAcentral.